Molecule: long non-coding RNA, 7771 nt
Filed under: Homo sapiens (human)
Lineage: Eukaryota; Metazoa; Chordata; Mammalia; Primates; Hominidae
Description: HSALNT0094126
Source: RNAcentral
GGGAUGUGACUGUUCUUUGGGAGGUCAUAUGGAUCCUGGGAGAGACGCCCAUUAUUGCUGAAUACUCCUUGGACAACACUCACUGUAGGUUCUGUGAUAACCAAGGACAUAUUAAUUUAUCAGCAAAGGAAAUGUUUUUAAAAAGAAUAUGGCAUUUCUUGCAAAUGUCAAACACACCAAAGGGACUUUUAAAAAAAUAUAAGGAAAUGCUGGUUUUAAAAACAUGAUUUUAAAAAUCAUCACAUACAGGUGGCAACUCUGUGUAGUUGGAUCAACUGGCAAACACAAAUGGUGUUCAGAACAAAAGGAGGACCACAUAAUCGGGAUGAAGAUAUUAAGGGAAUAUACAGAAUCCUGGAAAUAAAUCAUGGUCUGAAAAACACCUUGGGGAUAAGGUAGGCCAAGCCCCUUAUUCCACAGGUGAGAAGACUGACAUUCUCAAACGUUAAUUCAGUUCAUGAAAACACUCAACAUGUUCAGAACUUUAGGACUCAAGACUCAGGCUCUCAUUUGAGUUCCCAUCCUACUGUGGCAGGUUUGUGGGACAGUUUAAAGGAGAAUUGUUACUGACUUUCCAAAAAUAAAUUUAGUUCACUUUGACUUGCAUUUUAAAAAGCUGUCUUAAUACUUUAAAAAUAAAUUAUUUUGUAUAUUUUUUCCCAGGGAUGUAUCUGGCAUAAAAUAAAUUACUAGUAGUAAAGUAGGCACUUCAUUUACAAGUAGUAGAGAAUAUUUUAAAGUUAAAAUCAUAAAUACUCAGAGAGACAUAGAAAUAGAGACAGAGAGAGAGAGAGAAAUGAAAAUAUAUAGCCCUAUUGUUUAGCCAAGAGUAGUGGUGGAAUGUUUUAUCAUUUCCCAAGUGGUAUCUGCAAAAGACAAUCAAAAUAACUCCAAUUUUAAAUUGAAUUCAUAUUAAUUUGCAUCACAUUCACAUCAGAGAAUAUUACUGCUCUUUUGGACAAGUUUAAAAGUAAAAUGUUUCAAUCUUGCUAAAUGCAUUAUAUUAAUAUAAUGAACCAGGAAAUGGAAUCACCUGUUUAAUCCACUUGAACCAUUUGUUUCGGCUAAGUAGAUAUAUUAGCUAAUAUGAUACAUAUGCUAUCCACAUGUGUGCCAAAAUAUUCACUAUGGUUACAAAACAAAAGAUGGAUGAUUAGGUGAAAAAUAAAGAAACUUUACCUUAAAUUUUUCUAAAUAAUAUUUUCCCUGGAAAAUUCCUUUGGCACCAAUUAAUAUGAUCGCUAAAAACACAGGUCGCAUCUAUUAAUAAAAUAUGGUGACAAAACCCCGUCUCUACCCAAAAUACAAAAAAUUAGCUGGGCGUGGUAGUGCGUGCCUGUGGUCCCAGCUACUUGGGAGGCUGAAGUGGGAGGAUGGCUUGAGCCCGGGAGGUAGAGGUUGCAGUGAGCCAAGACUGUGCCACUGCACACCACCUGGGUGACAGAGAGACCCCAUCUCAAAAAAUACAUAAAAUAAAAUAAAAUAAAAUAAAAUACGGACCAUUAUUUUCAAUAAGAUUUCUAUGACCUGCAACUAUUAUAUUCGUAAAGACUUUAAAAUUGUUUUUAAAAACUUAAGCACUCGGUUCUUUCUAUGGUUAAGGGAACUCACCAACUUCAUAGACAUUCCUGUUGGCUGAAGUUGAGUUAUUGAUCUCUGCAUAUGGGGAAUCUCUUCGUGCCGGCGAUUUCAUCUCCACAUAACCACACUCUGAGCUUUUCGGGAUAAGUACAGAAAAUUUACAGAAGUUCAAUCAAGAAACCAGCUGUUGAUGGCCCCAGGAGCACCAAGAGGGCUCUAUUAUCAUGACAAGAAGGCAUUUGUGCUGGGAGGACUCCUAGUAAAAGCUCUGUACUAGGCAUCUAAUCAUGCACACCCAUCCUGAACAGCAGAACUUGGUCAACAUGUAACCAUGUGGAUCUUUUCUUAUUGUCCCGGCUAUUUCCCUUUAUAUGUUUCCGUCUCCCCAUAAGCCAUAUUUCUUUUAAAUGAAAUAUGAGUGUUUCCUCAGCAAACUGAAUCUUUUGUUCCCCAAAGACUUAAGCUCUACCAAGGACCACCUCUGGUCACUUUCUUGAUGUCAGUCACACAUGUUUGUGUGUUUGCUGUAGUAACUGACCACACUAAAAAUUCUACAUUUUCUCUUGCCAUUCUAGCUUGUUUAAAAACUAUUUCAGUCUUUGAGGUUAAAAAAAAUUUAAUUGUGCUUCUGAUUUCUUCUUCAAAUUUACAUGAUACCUUUUAAGGAUUUUCCCAUAUAGCUUCUGUCAAGUCCAAAAGCACCUGUAAUAAAGGAAGAAAAAAAACACCCAGUGAGAACUGAAAGGAAGAAAAACCCCAUCCAAUAUCCCAAGGUCCUGGAAGAGGAUCUCCCACUGCAGCAAACAACCAGGCUGCUGCUCUUCAAGCCUUUACACCAGAUCAGUUGUCCCAGAUGUCCCCAGUGCCUAGAAUUAAACACACACACAUUUGGUCAUUCACCUAGUCAUUUACAGUGACUCAGGAAAAGCUAGUCAAAACAGGAUAGAAACUGAGGCCCAGAGAUAAAUCAGUAUACUUGAUUCAAGGUUGCACAGUGAAAAGAAAGGAUACAGCCAAGACCAGAGUUGACAUUUCAUACCUACGUGCAGCUCUUUCAAGGCUCUGAUGGUUUUCAAAUAGUUUUCCCAAUAAUCAUUAUUCGGUUAUAUUAUUGUCUUCACUAUAAGCAUGUUUUCUGGAGACUGGAAGCUUCGAACACUGUUGACUAAUACUUUACAGGUGAUACUAGCUCUUGCCCUUCUUUAUUCAGCUUUUCAUAAUUUGACUUUUCCAGGUAUGGGGACAUAAUUGUGUAUGAGCCUAGAUACACACAAAAAAACCUGCUUUCUCAUUGGAAAAUGGCCAGCCUUUAUUUCGUGGGUGUGGGGAGGGAAAUAGGAGUGUUCCGGCUCAUGCUGGAAAAAUUGAGCAUGUAGGCAAGAGAACGUGCAACCACUUACAGAAAUCAAUCAGGUCACAAGCAUGUUGUAUAAAAUAUAAGCAUUUAAUCACAAAUUCGCACUACUAAAAACAAAAUAAGACGACAUUACCUAGCCCAUUUUAUACUAUCUGGUGUAUACGUGCAAAAUUGCAUUGUUAAUACUGCAUGGGAGUCAAUUAUUCUAUUGGAGCUGUGUUGUGACAAAAAAGGAGAAAACUAUAGAUUAGGAGACAAAGGAAUUACAUGUUAUAACUUAUUGGCCAUAGGACUUUGGGCAAGAUGUUCCACCCUCUGAGUGUCAAUUUUCUCAUCUCUAAAAUGGGGAAAACAAAAUUUGCCUUCCAGCCUUCCAGGGUUUUUGUCAUCAUUAAGUGAAACAGAGCAUAUGAAAAGGCUUUGUAAACUCUGAAGCACCAUACAAAUGAAGUGUGUCAAUUACUCUAACGCUCAGUGCAUUAUACUACCCUCUGCUUCAGUCUUUCCUUAAGCACUCCAAGGCAUUUUCAAUUGCCUUUCAAAAGAAUAUUACAGGCCGGGUGCGGUGGCUCAUGCCUGUAAUCCCAGGACUUUGGGAGGCCAAGGUGGGUGGAUUGCUUGAGCCCAGGAGUUCAAGACCAGCCUGGGCAAUAUGGCAAAACUUCAUCACUAAUCUUUUGAAAUACAAUACAAUAAGAAUGUUACAGACUUAGGUUAAAAGCAGAGAGUAAAGUAACAACUAGCAAUGAACAUUCCAGGUAAGUAUUUGAGAAUGUUAAGGAAACGAUAUCCUUGCCACUGUGCAUGCAUCUCUUAGAGAGAUGUUAAGCUCAAGUUCUGAUGUUGGUGUCCCAUGGGGAUCACUGAGUAAGCACACACUGUUGUGGAGAAGGAAGCAGCCUCUCCUAAAGGGAGAGGGUCUGUCAGAUAUCAAUCAUCGUGGGACAGGAAAUGGGAAUAUUUUCCUCUCUCAGGCACACUCUCUUGCAUCUGGGUUGUGAAGAGUCUAACCAAGCCCAUAGCUGGGGGGAAGGGCACACGGUUAUGCAGGGAGGCAGCAUAAAUGGGUGUGUAGUGAAGAAUUAACCUUAUCAAAGAAAGGGGUGGCCUUUGCCCUCAGCUCCUGGGAGGUGAUCUUGAAGUCCUUGGACUGUCCUGCCCAAUAGGAGUGCUUUUGUUCACCCGGAGGCCCAGGGAUACACCGGAUAGUGUAACCAAGUGAUUUAUGGUGGGGGGUUUGGGCCAUAUGGUAUCAUCUCCACCUCUGGAAGGGGAAAGACUAAAGGUCAAUCAUGUCUACAUGAUGGGAGUCAAUCAUGUCUAUAUGACUGAGCCCCCCAUAAACUGUAACCAUGAGAAUGCCCAUUCAGUGAGUUCAGUGACUCCUUGUAGCAAAAUGUUGAUCCUGAGGGUCGUCUUGGUGAUCUUUCAACUUGUAGCUGAUGUCAGAAGUCAGGGUGGUCUUGGGAAUUCCCAGACUUUAUAAAGAGGACCCAUGAAGAUGGGGCACAGUCUGUGGCCUCUGAGAACAGCUUUAUCAAGGAGCUCUGUCUAUGCUCCUCUUUGCCAAAUACUCUUGGCCAUCUCCAGACUGUAGCAAAGUCUUAUUAAAUGCCCAUUUUAAUCUUAGCUGUGCAGUGGCUAGCCUUCCACCAAGGUGUGAAAGAGAGAACCAGCAUGGAGCAGAUAGUAAGUUAGGGAAUAAGAGCUGGGGCUAUGAGGCCAGACACCCCUGCCAGAUUCUGUCUUCAUUGCCUUGGAGGAUCAGGGAGCUGUUUUAAUGAGGGAGCAGUCAGGAUUCCCUAUAAACUCCUAUAUACACCCAUCCCUGGAGCAGGGCUUUCAAAUGCUUGGUUUAAUUUAAUUCACAAAACGAGCCAGUACAUGCUUAUUACUCCCAUUUCACAAAUGAACGAAUCAAGGGUAAGUGAGGGUAAGUGACUGGCCCAGUGCUAUAUCUCAGGGUCUUUUGUGUCUAGUUCAAGGCUCUUUCAGAUACCAUGACGACAACUAUUCCAUCAUUUAAAGCACCUGUAAGCUUUAUCAUCCAUAACAUGCCUGACUCUGUCCUUUGUGAAGAACUUUUUCUGUGCAACAACUUUAAAGGGAUGUUAAAUGCAGAAUUAUUCCUGAGUGAGAACAAACCAAGAAGAUCCAGAAUUUCCAAUGAAGAUCCUAGGUUCCUAACACUCAGUCCCUUGGGUCUCAUUGAGCCAGAAAGCAGAGACAUUUACAUGUGACCAGUACAGUGAUGCCGUAUCUUCUGGAGUCUUCACAGUGGUCUAAGAUAGAACAAGAUGACUUUUCUUUCACUAGCGCUGGUUGGUAUUUUGCUGAAUAUCAAUUCAUAUAUUCCUUUGAGCUAAAUUAUAAAUGUAAUUAAGACUCCUAAAAAGUCUCCUUUAAUGUUAGAUGAUGUUACCAAUAAGCAUAUUGUGAGUCUCGUAUGUAAAUAAUUUUACUGUGGUUAGAAAUACUCAUCCUAUUGAUAAAAAUGGUAUAGAAUACAGAUAAAAGUUAGGAAUUUGUACAGCGAGCGUGAUAACGACUACACUAUGGAAAUGACUAAGAAUUUGUAUUCACCAGUAAAACAUUUUUAUUUCCAUAGAAAGAGGCAUUCCCACAGGGAUCAGUUCCUAUGACUGGCUCAGAGAACUUGACACUGCUUACAGGAGAAGCAGUGUUUAAGGGGAGCAGUCAGAAGAUCAACUUUGAAAUCUGGCUUUACCCCUUUCCUUCUUUGAAAUUUCAGACAAGAGGGUUAACCUCUCUGUGCCUCCCAGUCUACUCCUCUACAAAACAAGAUUCACAGGAGAGAGUCCACCCAGGAGGAUCAUCCAAUUUAGCAAAUGGGCCAAGUGUGGUGGCUCAUGCCUGUAAUCCCAGCACUUUGGGAGGCUGAGGCAAGAAGAUCACUUGAGGUCAGGAGUUUGAGACCAGCCUGGCCAACAUGGAGAAACCCUGUCUCUACUGAAAAUGCAAAAAUCAGCCAGGCAUGGUGGUGCACAUCUGUAAUCCCAGCUGCUUGGGAGGCUAAGGCAGGAGAAUCACUUGAAUCCAGAAGGCAGAUCUUGCAGUGAGCCGAGAUCGCGCCACUGCACUACAGCCUAGACGACAGAGCGAGACUCUGUCUCAAAAACAAAAACAAAAACAAAACAAAACAAAACAAAACAUUAGCAAAUGAAAAUACACAAAGGUCAGUUAUAUUAAAAUUUAAAAGAAACAAAAAAUAAUCUUUAGUGUACAUCCCAUGUAAUAUCUGUGAUAUGUUUAUACAAAAAAAUGUGUUGCUUAUCUAUCUGAAAUUCAAAUUUAACUGGGAUUUCUGGCACCUACCUCCAAAUAAAUGUACGUGAAAGGAUUUGCUAUCCGUAAGACACUGCACACCUGUAAGUUACUACAUCAUCAAACUCCUGUCUGAAAAUAUGGGUUACAGGCUUGGAAACUGCACUGCAUAAUUAAUGGUAUAUCACAGAAGUUCUUUAAGUAUGGACCAAGCAUUCCUGCCCCCUUUUCAGGAGGCCUAUGAGAUCAAAACUAUAUAUACACAUAUAUAUUUUAAGAGGUGAGUCUCGCUAUGUCAUCCAGAUCAGACUCAAACUCCUGGGCUCAAGCAAUCCUCCUGCCUCAGGCUCCCAAGUAGCUGGGGCUAUAGGCCUGUGCCAUUGUGCCCAGCUGCAAAACUAUUUCCAUAACAAUACAACAACAAUAUUUGCCGUUUUCACUCUAAUUCUCUUUCAAGUGUACAGUGGAGUUUUUCAGAAGCUACAUAAAGUAUGAGAUCAAAACCAACUGAACGUAAAAGCAGACAUGAUAAUCCAGCUAUCUUCUAUUAAGCUGGACAUUAAAGAGAUUUUUUUAUAAAAAUGUAAAAUAGCAUUGCUCUUCUCGCUAAUUUUGAAGGGUUUUGGAAAAUGUAGUUUUUUUUAAUAAAAACACAAUUUAUGUUACCAUGAAAUGUGAUUAUUAUUAAUUUAAAUAAAUUAACAUUCUAUUUUUUCCAGUUUUUAUUUACAUAUUAAAUUUCAUUUAGUAUGGUAAAUAUAAAUAGAUAUAGCCCCUAUCAACAGAAGCUCUUUUGGGUCCUCAAUAAAUUUUAAGAAUGCAAAGGAGUCCUAAUUUCAAAAAGUUGCCCGAACCACUGAUCCACUGUAUUCCUGUUGGUAUCUCUGAUUCCUCACCUGAAAGGGAAGGGGAUCUCAAGUACAGAUACCCUAUAUCAAAAGAGAACAAGGAAGAGCACACAGCUGUGAGCCAAGCUGACAGGGUCCAAUACUAGCUCUAACAUUUAACAGGCGAUGAGGUCCUGUGCAAGUAACAUAACCUUGUUAUGACUCAGUUUCUCAACUGUAACAUGCAGAUGGUGAUAACAAUAGUACCCACCUAUUAGAGUACUUGUGAGAAUUAAGUUAACAGGCAUAGAGCAAGAAUGUAAGCUACGAGCAGGCAGAGAUCCCAAUCUCUUUUGAUCAAUUCCUGGCACAUAGUAGGAACUCAAUAAAUGUUUGUUGAAUAGAUAAAGCCCUUAGGACAGUAGAUAGCCCUGUACAGGUGUUAGGCAUAAUUCUGCUAUUGUGCUUUUUGAUGCAAGUUUUCAAUAGAACACCUUGGCACAAACAGAGAUCCGUGACUGUUUCAGGGACUGACAGGUCAAGGUGCUUCUGGGGACGUGCGUUGGGAGAACUCACCGAGCUCGUUGAGGUAGCCGCCAUGUUUCCAGUCAGCCGGCAAUGUCCCAGUGCAGUCCCCCACAGGGCCUCUCUUCCCAGGGUUCACAUUUUUAAGAUUCACAAACAGUUGAUUGUUUUUUGACUGUUAAAAAUAUAAACAACG